RNAcentral lists this RNase P RNA (392 nucleotides) under Azonexus sp. RNAcentral describes it as "RNase P RNA component class A". It matches the Rfam family "Bacterial RNase P class A". Rfam says of the family: Ribonuclease P (RNase P) is a ubiquitous endoribonuclease, found in archaea, bacteria and eukarya as well as chloroplasts and mitochondria. Its best characterised activity is the generation of mature 5'-ends of tRNAs by cleaving the 5'-leader elements of precursor-tRNAs. The record is from RNAcentral. Lineage: Bacteria; Pseudomonadati; Pseudomonadota; Betaproteobacteria; Rhodocyclales; Azonexaceae.
AAAGUCGGCCAGGCAAUCGCCGGAUGUCCGGGGGCAACCCUGGCGUCGGGAGGAAAGUCCGGGCUCCGCAGGGCAGGAUGCCAGCUAACGGCUGGGCGCCAUAAGCCGCAAGGCCAAAGCGACGGACAGUGCAACAGAAAGCAGACCGCCGAUGGCGCCGCAAGGCGCACAGGUAAGGGUGAAACGGCGAGGUAAGAGCUCACCGCGUCCACGGUAACGGCGGACGGCACGGCAAACCCCAUCCGGAGCAAGACCAAAUAGGGAAGCAUGGGCGUGGCCCGCGCUGCUUCCGGGUAGGUUGCUUGAGCCUGCCGGCGACGGCAGGCCUAGAGGAAUGAUUGCCGAACCUCGCAAGAGGGGAACAGAACCCGGCUUAUCGGCCGGCUUUCCGA